This 493-nucleotide ribosomal RNA is filed under the name uncultured bacterium. RNAcentral's name for it is "bacterial SSU rRNA". It matches the Rfam family "Bacterial small subunit ribosomal RNA", at positions 903 to 1397 of the family's 1533-position model. The record is from RNAcentral.
AAAUGAAUAGACGGGGGCCCGCACAAGCGGUGGAGCAUGUGGUUUAAUUCGAAGCUACGCGAAGAACCUUACCAGGUCUUGACAUCUUGCGCCAACCCUAGAGAUAGGGCGUUUCCUUCGGGAACGCAAUGACAGGUGGUGCAUGGUCGUCGUCAGCUCGUGUCGUGAGAUGUUGGGUUAAGUCCCGCAACGAGCGCAACCCUUGUUACUAGUUGCCAGCAUUCAGUUGGGCACUCUAGUGAGACUGCCGGUGACAAACCGGAGGAAGGUGGGGACGACGUCAGAUCAUCAUGCCCCUUAUGACCUGGGCUACACACGUGCUACAAUGGACGGUACAACGAGUCGCGAACUCGCGAGGGCAAGCUAAUCUCUUAAAACCGUUCUCAGUUCGGACUGCAGGCUGCAACUCGCCUGCACGAAGUCGGAAUCGCUAGUAAUCGCGGAUCAGCAUGCCGCGGUGAAUACGUUCCCGGGCCUUGUACACACCGCCCGU